Molecule: non-coding RNA, 2882 nt
Organism: Oncorhynchus mykiss (rainbow trout)
Lineage: Eukaryota; Metazoa; Chordata; Actinopteri; Salmoniformes; Salmonidae
Source: RefSeq, a predicted model, not a curated record
CUCUAGACCAGGUUGUAGUGUCUCUGUAGUGUCUCUCUAGACCAGGUUGUCGUGUCUCUAGACCAGGUUGUAGUGUCUCUCUAGACCAGGUUGUAGUGUCUCUCUAGACCAGGUUGUAGUGUCUCUCUAGACCAGGUUGUAGUGUCUCUAGACCAGGUUGUAGUGUCUCUCUAGACCAGGUUGUCGUGUCUCUAGACCAGGUUGUAGAGUCUCUGUAGUGUCUCUCUAGACCAGGUUGUAGUGUCUCUCUAGACCAGGUUGUAGUGUCUCUCUAGACCAGGUUGUAGUGUCUCUCUAGACCAGGUUGUAGUGUCUCUAGACCAGGUCGUAGUGUCUCUAUAGACCAGGUUGUAGUGUCUCUAGACCAGGUUGUAGUGUCUCUCUAGACCAGGUUGUAGUGUCUCUCUAGACCAGGUUGUGUAGUGUCUCUCUAGACCAGGUUGUAGUGUCUCUCUAGUGUCUCUCUAGACGAGGUUGUAGUGUCUCUGUAGUGUCUCUCUAGACCAGGUUGUAGUGUCUCUCUAGACCAGGUUGUAGUGUCUCUCUGGACCAGGUUGUAGUGUCGCCUCUAGACCAGGUUGUAGUGUCUCUCUAGACCAGGUUGUAGUGUCUCUGUAGUGUCUCUCUAGACCAGGUUGUAGUGUCUCUCUAGACCAGGUUGUAAAGUAACAGGUCUUUAUCUCCAGGAUAACUGAAAAAUGAACAACACUACGACCAGGUCAGAUUAACAACACUACGACCAGGUUAUAUUAACAACACUAUGACCAGGUUAGAUUAACAACACUACGACCAGGUUAGAUUAACAACACUACGACCAGGUUAGAUUAACAACACUACGACCAGGUUAUAUUAACAACACUACGACCAGGUUAGAUUAACAACACUACAACCAGGUUAGAUUAACAACACUACGACCAGGUCAGAUUAAUGACCAGGUUAGAUUAACAACACUACGACCAGGUCAGAUUAACGACCAGGUUAGAUUAACAACACCACGAGCAGGUUAUAUUAACAACACUACGACCAGGUUAGAUUGACAACACUACGACCAAGUUAGAUUAACAACACUAUGACCAGGUUAGAUUAACAACACUACGACCAGGUCAGAUUAACGACCAGGUUAGAUUAACAACACCACGGCCAGGUUAGAUUAACAACACUACGACCAGGUUAGAUUAACGACCAAGUUAGCUUAACAACACCACGGCCAGGUUAGAUUAACAACACUACAACCAGGUUAGAUUACCAACACCACGGCCAGGUUAGAUUAACGACCAGGUUAGAUUAGCAACACCACGACCAGGUUAGAUUAACAACACUACGACCAGGUCAGAUUAACAACCAGGUUAGAUUAACAACACUACGACCAGGUUAUAUUAACAACACCACGACCAGGUUAGAUAAACAACACCACGGCCAGGUUAGAUUAACAACACCACGGCCAGGUUAGAUUAACAACACUACGACCAGGUUAGAUUGACAACACUACGACCAGGUCAGAUUAACAACACUACGACCAGGUUAUAUUAACAACACUACGACCAGGUUAGAUUAACAACACUACGACCAGGUUAGAUUAACAACACCACGACCAGGUUAGAUUAACAACACUACAGCCAGGUUAGAUUAACAACACUAUGGCCAGAUUAGAUUAACGACCAGGUUAGAUUAACAACACCACGGCCAGGUUAUAUUAACAACACUACAACCAGGUUAGAUUAACAACACCACGGCCAGGUUAGAUUGACAACACUACGACCAGGUUAGAUUAACAACACUACGACCAGGUUAGAUUAACAACACUACGACCAGGUUAGAUUAACGACCAGGUUAGAUUAACAACACCACGGCCAGGUUAGAUUAACAACACUACGAACAGGUUACAUUAACAACACCAAGGCCAGGUUAGAUUAACAACACUACGGCCAGGUUAGAUUAACGACCAGGUUAGAUUAACAACACCACGGCCAGGUUAGAUUGACAACACUACGACCAGGUUAUAUUAACAACACUACGACCAGGUUAGAUUAACAACACUACGACCAGGUUAGAUUAACAACACCACGAGCAGGUUAGAUUAACGACCAGGUUAGAUUAGCAACACUACGGCCAGGUUAGAUUAACAACACUACGGCCAGGUUAGAUUAACGACCAGGUUAGAUUAACAACACCACGGCCAGGUUAGAUUAACAACACUACGACCAGGUUAGAUUAACAACACCACGGCCAGGUUAGAUUAACAACACUACGACCAGGUUAGAUUAACAACACUACGACCAGGUCAGAUUAACAACACUACGACCAGGUCAGAUUAACAACACUACGACCAGGUUAUAUUAACAACACUACGACCAGGUUAGAUUAACAACACCACGGCCAGGUUAGAUUGACAACACUACGACCAGGUUAUAUUAACAACACUACGACCAGGUUAGAUUAACAACACCACGGCCAGGUUAGAUUGACAACACUACGACCAGGUUAUAUUAACAACACUACGACCAGGUUAGAUUAACAACACCACGGCCAGGUUAGAUUAACAACACCUCGGCCAGGUUAGAUUAACGACCAGGUUAGAUUAACAACACUACGACCAGGCACACACAGUCUCAAAUGGAACCCUUUUCCACAGCUCCCUAUGUGGGUCCUGACCAAAAGUAGUGCACUACGUAGGGGAUAGAGUACCAUUUGGGUCAGACACAAAAUAAUCUGCCUCUGUGCUAAACCCAUCCACAGAACCAGUGAACCAUCUUGACUGUAUCUCCUGUAGCUCAGGACAGGAGCUUCAUGUUGGGCCCUCCUGGGUCUGAUCCACACAUCAGAGCUAUGUUCAGGAUCCCCAGUGUUAUGGAACAUGACCUAAUAAACAGUUUUGCAAAGUU